ACAUUAGCUGAAAUCAAUCGAUAAACAUGUAAUUAAAUUGUACACGAUAAGUUACAUGUAUUGUGUGAUACGCGAGCUAUUGAAGAAUAAAUUGAACAGUUAAUACGCCGCUCCGUCAAUAUAUACACAUGUUGUCUGUCCUACGUCCCCUCUAAAAAGAAUAUUAAUAUGCUAAGUCCACGAUAAUAUACUUCAGUAUCACGUGACACCACCUUCCUACUUGCGCGCGUGUCUAAUUUUAGAUUUAAAAAGGAUUCCCAAACUAUGUAUAGAACUGAAACGUAUUCUACGGAAGAGAAAAAAAAAAAGGGGGGGGGGGGUGUUUAGACAUGCUGAUUCCGACA
Molecule: long non-coding RNA, 344 nt
Filed under: Mytilus galloprovincialis (Mediterranean mussel)
Lineage: Eukaryota; Metazoa; Mollusca; Bivalvia; Mytilida; Mytilidae
Source: RNAcentral